RNAcentral lists this ribosomal RNA (378 nucleotides) under Triticum aestivum (bread wheat). Its description in RNAcentral is "partial small subunit ribosomal RNA". The record is from RNAcentral. Lineage: Eukaryota; Viridiplantae; Streptophyta; Magnoliopsida; Poales; Poaceae.
AUGAAGCAAUCGGCCGUUUUUGCUGCGCUAGCUCUCGCCGUCGUGGUCACCGCGGCGGUGCUGCUUCCCGGAGCGACAGUGGCGGCGGUCGCGACGCGGCCGGCCAAGUACACGUACCAGGAGGACGCAAGCAGCGACUUCAUAAGGAGCGUGGGCACGUUCUCGGUGACCGUGUACAAGCUGGCCCACGGGUUCAACAUGUACUACACGAGCACGUCACAGUGCUGGUCCGUGGCGUCAGGGGAGGGCUACGAGUACUGGAUGGUGCUCACGGCAAAGAACGGCGGGGUCUACGGCAGGUAUGUGUCCAUCGUCUGGGGCAUCCCGGGGUCCGAGUCCAGGACGUGGAAGCUCCUCAGCUUCAGCAGCACCGACUGA